Molecule: ribosomal RNA, 939 nt
Filed under: Triticum aestivum (bread wheat)
Lineage: Eukaryota; Viridiplantae; Streptophyta; Magnoliopsida; Poales; Poaceae
Description: partial small subunit ribosomal RNA
Source: RNAcentral
AUGAUGAGCAAGUGCAAUGUUACAGGAACUUUCACCCUAAGUGUGCCCAAACAAUAUGUCAAGCGACAUGUGGGAGAUACGGAGCGCAACAUAUGUCUUCAGUGCCUUGGCAAGAGGUGGGAAGUGCAAUUUGGUGGUAGGCCUGAAGAGAAAAGGAUUAUAUCUGGCUGGCGGAGGUUUGUAAAGGACAAUGAUGUUGAGAUGGGUGAUAUCUGCAUUUUUGAAUUGUUGAAGAAAUGUAAGACGUGCACGAUGGAAGUCCAUAUCAUCCAUACAAAGGAUAUUGAUACGCCUUCCAAAAUUUGUCAGCAAAGGCACAGAGAGGUUGUUAAAAUUAUGGAACAUUCUCAUUCUCUCCCCCAGCUUAAGGAAAUGCAACUGCGUAACGAAACAGUGGAAGAUGCUAUCGUUCAUCCCGAACCCAAGCAAAUACAGCCACCUUCGUUGGAAAGACGGAUACGACUUCAAAGGGACAAGUCUAGUCAGGGCAGCAAGAGAGAUUCCUUGUCAUCGGAAGAUACUGAUCAUGAAGAAGGUGCUUUGCCUGAUUGCAUCCUUGCACGUUUUACGCGCCUUACUACAGAUCAGAAGAAGGCAGUGAAGGAGAAGGUUCAAUUUAUUGAUUCUGAAACUCCCAUCUUUGUUGCCAUGAUGCAACAAACCAAUGUUACUGGAAGAUACACUCUAAGCCUUUCAAAGAAAUAUAUUAACAAAUAUUUGGGAGACGAGGUGCGGAGCAUCUGCCUUGAGCGACUUGGCGAGAGGUGUCAAGUAUGGUUUGGACGCAGGCCUCAGGAUAAAAGGAUUAUAGGCGGAUGGACAAAGUUCGUGAAAGCCAAUGAGGUGGAGGUGGGAGAUAUCUGCCUCUUCGAGCUGCUGAAGCAUCGGAAAUUGUGUGCCAUGAAAGUUCAUAUCAUCCGCGCAAAGGACUUCAGUUGA